RNAcentral lists this unclassified non-coding RNA (1451 nucleotides) under uncultured fungus. RNAcentral's name for it is "sequence contains 18S rRNA gene, ITS1, 5.8S rRNA gene, ITS2, 28S rRNA gene". The stretch from base 500 to 1451 matches the Rfam family "Eukaryotic large subunit ribosomal RNA", at positions 1 to 961 of the family's 3401-position model. The record is from RNAcentral. Lineage: Eukaryota; Fungi.
GGAAGGAUCAUUACCACUAAUCCAAUUCAUCUAAACCUAGCCUCUAGUUGCAGCAUCUGAGCUAGCUAGCUCUUGCAGGCUGGCUUCACCUGCUGCAUCUAUCAAAGCUAAUCACACAAAGGACCAUUCACUAAGACCUAUCAUCAAAACCAAAUUCUCAACGAUGGAUAUCUUGGUUCCCAUAACGAUGAAGAACGCAGCGAAGUGCGAUAAGCAAUGCGAAUUGCAGAACCGUGAGUCAUCAGAUUUUUGAACGCAACUGGCGCUAAUUGGAAUCCCAGUUAGCAUGCUUGUUUCAGUGUCUUAUCAUCUCCUCACCCAGAUCUUAAUGCUAGAGAUACCCUUCUCUGGUUAAGUAUGGAAGCGCUCUGCGCUCUGCAAGCGGCUUCUUUCGAAGUCGCACUCAAUGCAGCAGUCACAUUGUUCUCAAUGUGAACUCAUUGAGAGUAGAGGCAGUGCAGCUCAUGCUGCAAGUGCUUAGAGACCUUAAACUUUUCUUUCAUCUGAAAUCAAGCAGGACCACCCGCUGAACUUAAGCAUAUCACUAAGCGGAGGAAAAGAAAUUAACUAAGAUUGCCUCAGUAACGGCGAGUGAAGCGGCAAAAGCCCAAAGUGGAAAUCUUCGUGCCUCGCACGACGAAUUGUAAUCUAGAGGUGGGUAACUCACCUUGAGGAGGCGCAGAAGUUGCUUAGAAUAGCACGCCAUAGAGGGUGACAGCCCCGUAUGUGGUGCCUCCUCAUAACGAGUUCCUUUCGAAGAGUCGGGUUGUUUUGAAUUGCAGCCCUAAGCGGGAGAUAGACUUCUUCUAAGGCUAAAUAUAUAUGGGAAACCGAUAGCGAACAAGUACUGUGAAGGAAAGAUGAAAAGCACUUUGAAAAGAGAGUCAAAAGACUUGAAAUUGUUGAGAAGGAAGGAGUAGAAGUUUAUUCUUCUGCCUGGAAUGAAGGUGUUCGUCAAACCAUUGGAGUGUGCCAGCACGUCAAAGGCUGCUAGCUCCACUUGGGGAAGCGAUAGCUGGAUUCCAGGCGAGAGGCAAAAUGAGGUUCUACGUCCACAAAAGCUGGCUGUCUAUAGGCGGCCUCUGCUGGUGGAAGUAUUGCCUGAGGAGCUUCGUGCGAUUUUGCCAAAAUGGCUUUUACUCACCCGUCUUGAAACACGGACCAAGGAGUUUAACAAAUAUGCGAGUGUGCUGGUGGAGAAACCAACACGCGUAAUGAAAGUAAUAGAUGCCAAGCGCAAGCAGCAGCAUCGACCGACCAUGAUCCUCUGGUGAAAGGUUUGAGUAUGAGCAUAUCUGUUAAGACCCGAAAGAUGGUGAACUAUGCCUGGGUAGGGUGAAGCCAGGGGAAACUCUGGUGGAGGCUCGUAGCGGUUCUGACGUGCAAAUCGAUCGUCAAACUUGGGUAUAGGGGCGAAAGACUAAUCGAACCAUCUAGUAGCUGGUUCCCUC